UCAAACUUGGUCAUUUAGAGGAAGUAAAAGUCGUAACAAGGUUUCCGUAGGUGAACCUGCGGAAGGAUCAUUAACAAAUUAUCCUUACAUUAUAUGGAUAAUAAUCCAUAUUCACCUCGUGUGCAUCUAUUGACUUGUGUGCUUUGGCAAGUUGAUUCCGAAAAUGGAGUGUGAGGGUGGUUUGGUUUUGAGAUAAUAAUAAUAAUAUUAUUAUUUUGGGUCCAAAUCCCCCUCGGCUUGCCAAAGUUUGUUUUUCUAUAAACACUUCAAAAUUGAUGUCUAAAAAACUUUGAUUUUAAUGUAAUCAAAUACAACUUUCAACAACGGAUCUCUUGGCUCUCGCAUCGAUGAAGAACGCAGC
This 361-nucleotide unclassified non-coding RNA is filed under the name uncultured fungus. RNAcentral's name for it is "partial contains small subunit ribosomal RNA, internal transcribed spacer 1, and 5.8S ribosomal RNA". The stretch from base 1 to 73 matches the Rfam family "Eukaryotic small subunit ribosomal RNA", at positions 1759 to 1831 of the family's 1831-position model. The record is from RNAcentral. Lineage: Eukaryota; Fungi.